GACGAACGCUGGCGGCGUGCCUAACACAUGCAAGUCGAACGAGAAUCUUUGGAAUGAUUCUUUCGGGAUGAAUUCUAAAGAGGAAAGUGGCGGACGGGCGAGUAACGCGUGAGUAACCUGCCCAUAAGAGGGGGAUAAUCCAUGGAAACGUGGACUAAUACCGCAUAUUGUAGUUAAGUUGCAUGACUUGAUUAUGAAAGAUUUAUCGCUUAUGGAUGGACUCGCGUCAGAUUAGAUAGUUGGUGAGGUAACGGCUCACCAAGUCAACGAUCUGUAGCCGAACUGAGAGGUUGAUCGGCCGCAUUGGGACUGAGACACGGCCCAGACUCCUACGGGAGGCAGCAGUGGGGAAUAUUGCGCAAUGGGGGCAACCCUGACGCAGCAACGCCGCGUGCAGGAAGAAGGUCUUCGGAUUGUAAACUGUUGUCGCAAGGGAAGAAGACAGUGACGGUACC
Molecule: ribosomal RNA, 455 nt
Filed under: uncultured bacterium
Lineage: Bacteria
Description: bacterial SSU rRNA
Rfam family: Bacterial small subunit ribosomal RNA
Source: RNAcentral